AUCCAAAUACAGAUAUAAAAAUUUAUUAGUGAUGAGAUAAAAUAGCAGUAGCAGUGAUUUUUCACCAGUGAUUUUAAAGUAGCAAUCACAACCUGCUACUCCCGGAUGAAAAUAACAGUGACUGCCACGUUUUUACUUUUUAGUAGUUGCAACUACGACGAUCAGAUAUUAAAAGACCUGCCUUAGAAAACACACGCUCGCAUGGCACAGAUGAUCCUAGACAACAUAACAUCCUCCUUGCCAAAACAUUUAAAAAUGGCCCGUGAAGUUGAUGUUCCAAUCGAAAGCUGCAUUUGGGAAACACAUUUAUCGACUGACUCCCAAAUUGAAAAUUUCUUCACUUCAGGCGUCAAUGUAUCGGAUGGUUGAUUAGAGAUCUGUGGUUCAUGUUCAAUUGAUGUAGAUUCAGAUCUGGAUGUCGAAAUUACCUGAGCUGUUAGUUCCACUAUAUCAUUCUUUAAUGAGUUGAGCAUGUUUUCGUUGUGAGUGAAUGACAUUUUUCAAUCCUUGAGCAAUAACUAUAACUAAUGAAGCAGUUAUGUACUGCUUUCUACUCACAGCUCCAAUAGCUUCUUCAAACAUUUUU
This 586-nucleotide long non-coding RNA is filed under the name Sipha flava (yellow sugarcane aphid). Its description in RNAcentral is "uncharacterized LOC112684473, transcript variant X1". The record is from RNAcentral. Lineage: Eukaryota; Metazoa; Arthropoda; Insecta; Hemiptera; Aphididae.